This 433-nucleotide ribosomal RNA is filed under the name uncultured bacterium. RNAcentral's name for it is "partial 16S ribosomal RNA". It matches the Rfam family "Bacterial small subunit ribosomal RNA", at positions 29 to 507 of the family's 1533-position model. The record is from RNAcentral.
AACGAACGCUGGCGGCAUGCCUAACACAUGCAAGUCGAACGAGACCUUCGGGUCUAGUGGCGCACGGGUGCGUAACGCGUGGGAACCUGCCUUUAGGGUCGGAAUAACUCAGAGAAAUUUGAGCUAAUACCGGAUGAUGUCUUCGGACCAAAGAUUUAUCGCCUUUAGAUGGGCCCGCGUUGGAUUAGCUAGUUGGUGGGGUAAAGGCCUACCAAGGCGACGAUCCAUAGCUGGUCUGAGAGGAUGAUCAGCCACACUGGGACUGAGACACGGCCCAGACUCCUACGGGAAGCAGCAGUGGGGAAUAUUGGACAAUGGGCGAAAGCCUGAUCCAGCAAUGCCGCGUGAGUGAUGAAGGCCUUAGGGUUGUAAAGCUCUUUUACCCGAGAUGAUAAUGACAGUAUCGGGAGAAUAAGCUCCGGCUAACUCCGUG